GCAAACUUGGUCAUUUAGAGGAAGUAAAAGUCGUAACAAGGUUUCCGUAGGUGAACCUGCGGAAGGAUCAUUAUCGAAUGACGCCGCCCGCGCUGUGCGUUCUCUUUCGCACGCGAGGGUGUGUUCAUCUCCUCACACCUGUGCACCUUCGGGUCGAGAGGCCCGCCCUUUUCACCUCACCAACACGUUCUCGAAUGUACAUUUGAUAUAAAAUACAUGUCACAACUUUCAACAACGGAUCUCUUGGCUCUCGCAUCGAUGAAGAACGCAGC
This 272-nucleotide unclassified non-coding RNA is filed under the name uncultured fungus. Its description in RNAcentral is "partial contains small subunit ribosomal RNA, internal transcribed spacer 1, and 5.8S ribosomal RNA". The stretch from base 1 to 73 matches the Rfam family "Eukaryotic small subunit ribosomal RNA", at positions 1759 to 1831 of the family's 1831-position model. The record is from RNAcentral. Lineage: Eukaryota; Fungi.